This 78-nucleotide transfer RNA is filed under the name Escherichia coli. RNAcentral describes it as "tRNA-Asp". It matches the Rfam family "tRNA". Rfam says of the family: Transfer RNA (tRNA) molecules are approximately 80 nucleotides in length. Their secondary structure includes four short double-helical elements and three loops (D, anti-codon, and T loops). The record is from RNAcentral. Lineage: Bacteria; Pseudomonadati; Pseudomonadota; Gammaproteobacteria; Enterobacterales; Enterobacteriaceae. RNAcentral also lists the same sequence under 2 other names.
GCGAUAGUCGUUUUAGUGGUUUAAGAUGCCUCCCUGUCACGGAGGGCGACGUGGGUUCGAAUCCCAUCUAUCGCGCCA